CCUCAGAAGCAACAGGGCUGUAUGCCUCAAAUAAAUAAAGAGAUGUCUCGGCAUCACCACUGACAAGCCUGAUGCUGCUGAAGUUGAGAAUUCAGGCGAGGUCGAUUCCACUGCAUCAUCUGGGAAUUCUAUUGCUUCAGCGACGCUUGUUAACGUGUCACCUUCUAGUCGUACCCAAGAAGUUACAGCAGAGAGAAUGUGAACCAUCUGCUGUAAACACAAUAGUUGACAGCCACUAAAUACAGGCCAGGCACUACAAAACACUACAGGACCUUUACAAGAAGCCAAAGCCAAAUACAUUUGCAGUUACCCAGCUCCUUGAUCAUGAAUUUAAUGCACAGAUGUCAUUAAUAGAUUCUAUGGGAGGCUUACCCAUGCUUUAAAGAACUGGAUCAGUGAAAAAUGCCAUCUCCAUGUUUAGAGCUCUGCCAUCCAUGUUUACUUCACUUUCUCUACACCCAAAAAAUUUGGGAAACAAAACAUGACGCAUUAGUUCAUGUCCUUAAGACCUCCGAGAAUCCUGAUGCCUUUCUACAGCAAGGACCACUGUCUAGCCUUGUCCUUAUUGUCGACCAAGAUAACUGUAUGCUGGCUAUUGGAAGUGAGCCUGUGACAACUUUCCCUCAAGAAAUGUUGCAUGAAGGUAUCACGUACCUUAUGGCAUACCAUUAUGCACUACAUCUAACAUAUCUUAAGUGCAUUGCCGUUGUUCUCUCUGUAAUUUAAACUGAAAUAUUACUGGACACAAUUCAUGAGAAGGAUGUAACUGUGUCAUACAGGAAAGCCUUAGCUGAAUGGAAACAGCUUAUUGGUCAGUAAUCACUGUGGCACUACUUAAGCCUGGCCAACAUAAUUAACUUGAUACAUUUUGAAGCUAAAUGAUUGGUUAAGUGUAACUGUAAAUUAGGUAAAGUGUGAUUUAGAAACCAUUAAUAGAAAGUGUACAUACAUUCCAAAUAAUUUGAAGGGAAAAUACAAAAAUGCUAGAAGAAAAAUCGUGUGAGCCAAAUGUAGAA
Molecule: long non-coding RNA, 1016 nt
Organism: Polypterus senegalus (gray bichir)
Lineage: Eukaryota; Metazoa; Chordata; Cladistia; Polypteriformes; Polypteridae
Exons: 4
Source: RefSeq, a predicted model, not a curated record